UCUGGGGGCGGGGCUUCCGGCCUUCUUUUCGCUCGCGGCUGUUCUGACUCGUCUGGGUCUCCCUGACUCCGAAACGCUGGCUCUGGGCCGAGCGACUGUCCUGUUAGGUCCGGGAAGAGUCGUUUUCCGCGUGGCGCAGAGGCGGGCCUGAGGUUCGCCACUCGGCACGGGCUUCCCCGCGCCCGGCCUGGGAUGGAGACCGUGGCGCCCGCGACCCCCUCUUCUCCCGCAGCUCCGCCCGCAGAGCUCGAUGGCGGCGGCCGCGCGGAGGACCCGCCUCAGAGGUCUCCCGUGAGAAGGGCAUUUCCCAGGCAGGACUCCUAGGGCAGAUCCAUCGUUCAUGAAGAGCCACCCCUGUGAAAUGUGUGGCCUCACAGACAAUUGGCACUUGGAUGAGCAGCAGCCAACACAUGACAGGCAGAAACUGCACAGAUUUGUAGAAAUGGAAUUGCUGCAAAAAAGUACUGCAUGUUCAUGCUGGAUAUGACAAGCUUCCUUUUCUACAGUUUGUUCCAGUUUGUACUCAAACCAACAGGAAAUCAUGACCGCAGGGAUGUGGCAUUGUGCUCAGGACGAACGAGGGCAGUCUCUUCCCAGGUCCUGCAGAGGAGCCGUGGAGCCUGCUGUGCACAACUGUUGAGGGAUCAUCCUCAUUCCAGACACGCUGGACUCACAGGACGAGGGGGCAGGACGCUGCAACCGACUGCUGGGCACGUGCCUCUCAGGACAGCAUCCGCCUGACCCGCCACUGUGGCUGGGAAGGAUGAGCAGGUACAGAACUUCUCACAGUCCUCAGGCCUGUGUCCUGGGUCACUGCAGGCCUCCUCAGUGGACAUCAGCCAAAGACACUGUGGGUCACUGCAGCCUGUCUGGCUCUGGCUCUUCCCCUCAGGACCAGUGCUUUACAGGAGGUGUGCAGGAGAAGGAGGGAGAGCUUAGUCCGGCCUGCAUUUACAUGGCACAGCUGGGAACAGCCUCCGCUGCUCCCCAGGACUUGCUGCCCCUGAGGCGAGAGGGAGGCCCUGACUGGAGAGAGAAGGGUAUGUCAGCAUUAGUGUCACCAAAUCUCAUUUCCAGGAAAAAUAAGGAAUUCCAGGUUUUAAAGCUUCGAGAAGGUAUAAAUGACGUGCAGUGAACAUUAGUGUGGUAGGUUCCGACAUUUACAUAAACUCAUGAAGUCUGGAUCACACAACGAAUCUCUUCAUGACCCCAUGUCUACCUUGCGUUUAUUUUUAAUCACUGAAAGAUGGCUGAUUUCCAGUAUCGUGUUAGUUUUAGGUAUACAGGUGACUGUAUAACUGCAAGGUGAUUCCAUAUUUUUGAUUUUGUUCCAUUGCAGGUUAUUACAAGAUACUGAAUAUAGUUGCUGCGCUGUGCAGCAAACCUUUAUCAAGUUAGUAGUUGGUUAUCCGCACUCCUGUUUCCCCUUCUCUCCCUUCCCCUGUGGUAACCACAAGUUUGUUUCCGUGUCUGAGAGUGAUUCUGUUCUGUAAGUGGAUUCACAUGCUGUUAUUUUUGUUGUUGUUGUCUUUUUGCUAUUUCUUGGGCCGCUCCCGCGGCAUAUGGAGGUUCCCAGGCUAGGGGUCGAAUCGGAGCUGUAGCCGCCAGCCUACGCCAGAGCCACAGCAAUGCUGGAUCCGAGCCGCGUCUGCAACCUACACCACAGCUCACGGCAACGCCAGAUUGUUAACCCACUGAGCAAGGGCAGGGACCAAACCCGCAACCUCAUGGUUCCUAGUCGGAUUCGUUAACCACUGCGCCACGAUGGGAACUCCACAUGCUGUUAUUUUUAAGACUCCACGUAUAAUACACAGCACACACUUGUCUUUUUUUGACCCACCUCACCUAGUAUAUUUUCUGGGUCCAUCCAUGAUGCUGCAGGUGGCUGUAUUUCAUGACUUUCUCUGGUGGAGUUGUCGUCUAUUGAAUACGUACACGUGUGUGUGUGUGUGUGUGUGGAUAUUAAGUAUAUACACACUCUAUGGCGUAUACAUGUAUGUAUACACAUCACCUCUUCCUCACCCGUGCAUCUGUUAAUGGACCACAGAUGCGUCCAUGUCUCGGGAAUUGUAAAGAGUGCCACUGUGGACACGGUAUGUCUUUUCCAUACUGUUUUCCAUAGUGGCUGGACUUUCCUUUUCUCCGCACCUUCUCUGGCAAUUACUGUAUGUAGACUUUUGAUGAUGGCCAUGCUGACUGGAGAGGGGUAGUUUUGAUUUGGAGCAUAAUUAGUAAUCCUGAGCAUCUUUUCAUGUGCCUGCUGGCCAUCUGUCUGUCUACCUUGGAGAAAUGUCUCUUUAGGUCUUCUGCCCAUUUUUUGAUUGGUUUUUGUUUGAUACUGAGUUAUGGGAGCUGUUUGUAUAUUUUGGAUACUUUGUAGACUUUAUAAUCUCCUUUCUUCUCCCCUCUAGUCAGCCGCAGAUUUAGUUUCCUUUACAGUAGAAAUAAGGCUGCACUGUCUAGAGUUUUAUGAUUGAAGUCAUAGAGUGUUAACUCCUUCUUCCCCCCGGGCUACCCACAUGCACUGUCUUUAAGAUUCAUUAAGGGAGUUCCCGUUGUGGCGCAGUGCUUAACGAAUCCGACUAGUAUCCCUGGCCCAGCUCUGUGGGUUAAGGAUCCAGUGUUGCCAUGAGCUGCAGUGUAGGUCGCAGGUGCAGCUUGGAUCUGUGUUGCUGUGGCUGUGGUGUAGGCCAGUGGCUACAGCUCCGAUUCAACCCCUAGCCUGGGAACCUCCAUAUGCCACGGGAGCGGCCCAAGAAAUGGCAAAAAGACAAAAAGAAAAAAAAAAAAAAAAAAAGAUUCAUUAAGGAUGUGUACAUGAAUAUGAAUAGUCCUUACAUGAUGCUUAUACGAAGAUGCUUUUCAUAAAGCUGAAAAGUAUGAUGUUCUGUGGAUACACCAUCUUUGUUCUGCUUAAGGACAUCUAAGUUUAGGCUGCUGGGAAUAAAACUCCUACAUAGGGAGUUCCCCUGUGGUGCAGUGGAAACAAAUCUGACUAGUAUCUAUGAGGAUGCGGGUUUGAUCCCUGGCCUUACUCAGUGGGUUGGGGAUCCGGUGUUGCCCUGAGCUGUGGUAUAGGUCGCAGAUGCAGCUUGUAUCCUGUGUGGCUGUGACCAUGGCACAGGCCAGCAGCUGUAGCUCUAAUUAGAUCCCUAGCCUGGGAACUUCCUUAUGCCGUGGGUGUGGCCCUAAAAAGCAAAAAAAAAAAAAAAAUCUAAAACCACUACAUGAAAAAUGUAAUUUCUCAUAUGUCUUUCAUUUAUUCUGUGUUAACAUCAUGGGUUCUAAUAUCUAACAGAGGAGAUAAGUAUAUAACUUUUUAAGAAAUGUCAAACUGAUCUAAGUCAACUUUACUAGCAGUGUGGGAGUUUCAGUUCUUUCACAUCCUUGGCAAUAGUGGGUGUGAUGAGUCCUUUUAACUUCUGAGGCUUUUACAUGAUUUUUUUGUUUGUUUUUAAUGGCUUCGCUUGUUGCAUAUGGCAGUCUCCGGCAGGGAUUAAAGCUGAGCCCCAGCUGUGGCAACACUGGAUCCUUCAGCCCACUGUGCCAGGCCAAAGGUCAAACCUGAACCUUUACAGUGACCUGAGCUUAACCCACUGCGCCACAGCAGGAACCCCCCUUUUAAAAUUUUUGUUUUUAUUUUUAAUUUUUUAAAUUAUGCAGGUUCUCAGGCUAGGGGUCUAAUUAGAGCCGUGGCCUCUGGCCUACACCACAGCCACAGCAACGCAGGAUCUGAGCCACGUCUGCGACCUACACAUAGCUCACGGCAACAACAGAUCCUUAACCCAACUGAGUGAGGCCAGGGAUCGAACCUGCAUCCCUGUAGAUGCUAUUUGGGUUUGUUAACCGCUGGGCCACAAUGGGAACUCCUUAAAUAAUUUUAUAGCAUUAUCCUCACUAUAGUUUUAGUUGCCUUUCACUGAUGUUUCAUGAAGUUGUUAAAGUUUCUAAAUUUUGUUUUGAUUUUUAGGGCUGUACCCCCAGCACAUGGAAGUUUCUGGGUGGGGGAUCUAAUUGGAACUACAGCUGCCAGCCUUCACCACAGCCACAGCAACACGGAAUCCGAGCUGCAUCUGGGACCUACACCACAGCUCACGGCAAUGCCGGAUCCUUAACCCACUGAGUGAGGCCAGGGAUGGAACCCGUGUCCUCAUGGAUACUAGCGGGGUUCUUAACCUGCUGACCCACCAAUAACUCCCUGAACAUUUUAAAGUUUAUUUUCUAUUUUUUAUGUAAAAUAUUCUCAGUCGCUUUUCUUGAAUCUAGAUACUCAACAAUACAGUAAAUCAAGCCA
Sus scrofa (pig) is the source of this 4294-nucleotide long non-coding RNA. RefSeq lists it as uncharacterized. The record is from RefSeq and is a predicted model, not a curated record. NCBI's taxonomy places the organism in Eukaryota, Metazoa, Chordata, Mammalia, Artiodactyla, Suidae.